CCCUUCCUUGUUUACCACCGCACUAUAUACACACACGUCGUCAGCAUUACCACUGUGAAGGCCCAACAGUAAGCAGAAUUGGCACACCCCAAAACGUCAGGUCGAGGUGUAGCGCAUGAAAGGGGAAGAAAUGGGCUACAUUCACUGCACAAGUGAACACGAAUAGUGCAUUGAAACAUGCACUUGAAGGAGGAUUUAGCAGUAAGUGGAAAGCAGAGCGUUCCACUGAAAAUGGCCCUGAAGCGCGCACACACCGCCCGUCACUCUCCCCGAGCUCCCCCAAACCCCACUAACUAAGAUGAACACUCGCAAUUAGGGGAGGCAAGUCGUAACAUGGUAAGUGUACCGGAAGGUGUACUUGGAAUAUA
This 368-nucleotide ribosomal RNA is filed under the name Plectorhinchus orientalis (oriental sweetlips). RNAcentral's name for it is "partial 12S ribosomal RNA". It matches the Rfam family "Bacterial small subunit ribosomal RNA", at positions 1014 to 1533 of the family's 1533-position model. Lineage: Eukaryota; Metazoa; Chordata; Actinopteri; Lutjaniformes; Haemulidae. The record is from RNAcentral.